UACGUAGGUGGCAAGCGUUGUCCGGAAUUAUUGGGCGUAAAGCGCGCGCAGGCGGUCCCUUAAGUCUGAUGUGAAAGCCCACGGCUCAACCGUGGAGGGUCAUUGGAAACUGGGGGACUUGAGUACAGAAGAGGAAAGCGGAAUUCCACGUGUAGCGGUGAAAUGCGUAGAGAUGUGGAGGAACACCAGCGGCGAAGGCGCUUUCUGGUCUGUAACUGACGCUGAGACGCGAAAGCGUGGGGAGCGAACAGG
This 252-nucleotide ribosomal RNA is filed under the name uncultured bacterium. Its description in RNAcentral is "partial 16S ribosomal RNA". It matches the Rfam family "Bacterial small subunit ribosomal RNA", at positions 524 to 776 of the family's 1533-position model. The record is from RNAcentral.